This is a long non-coding RNA of Gasterosteus aculeatus aculeatus (three-spined stickleback), 1445 nucleotides long. The record is from Ensembl. Lineage: Eukaryota; Metazoa; Chordata; Actinopteri; Perciformes; Gasterosteidae.
ACCCGCUGCCUCCUGCUGAUUUACGGCCGUUCCCUGUGAAAGAGGUUGGAGGCUACGCGGGAACAAUCUCGCCAGGUUUCCCUGUCUGACAGUCAGCAGGCGAUGGAUGUGCCCUCUUUCUGCGCUGCUGACUGAACGUCGAGUUUAAAUGAGUGUUUCAUUUUUCACAUACUGUGUAUAUAUAUAUAUUUUUUAUUCCUAUUAUACCCACGGAAAAGACCUGAAAAAGAUCACAAGACUUGUUUUAUCUUCUGGAAAUCUGAAAUCAGACAAACUUAUCACUUGGUUGUAACUUCUUAUCCAUAUUUCAGUGGCAUAUACUCUGACCUCAAGUUUGCAAAAUGUUUUUCCACUUUAAAUAAAUGGCAUACUGCUUGUUGCAUUGCAGUAGGGUUGCAUAUGAAUCGAGCAGGGCACGGGCGGGUGGGCUGCGUGACAAAAGGCACCAUAAUCUUUGCUAGAAAGGCCACAAAUGUCAGCGGACAUGUAACAUAACCAUGUCCUGGCUUGCUGGUACAUUAUUGUAUUUUCAAAGCUUUGGGUGGGCACACAGGUCCUGACAUUAAACAGGCUUUGGUUCGCUCGCCUCGGCGUUUCUUUCUCUCUCGCUCUCCUUUAGCCAGUUUCCCCUUUGUCCUCUCUACUGGUCAAGUUAAUAGGUCUUUAACCCUGUGUCAAUGAGCUACGGGCUUUGGUGUGCUCGCCCACACUAUGACAGGUCCCAUCCCAAUUAGGCUGAGAUGCAAGGCCAGGAGACGGCAUCAGUGUGUGUUUGUGUGUAAGCGAUCCUCAAAACAUCGCCCGAGGUGCCGCCAUUGUCGCUAAUGACAAAGAUAAUGGGAUACAGACGCAAACAGCCACAACCACGUACACAGUAAAUCAGCUCACCCUUCGCCCUCCCAAACACAGACAAUAAUUAUUUUACAUACAGAUUCCCACUGGGGGCUUGUGAAGAUAAUACAAUCAGGAGAUUAUUAGCAUCACCAAACUUGAAGCGAUUCAUUUGAUCAAGAGAUUGCCUAAUUUGAUACUGCACAAUUUCCAUUUGUGUUGUUAUUCUGAUGGACAAUAGCUUUUAAUGAUCCAUUUGUUUACAGCUGAGGAUGGUAAUGACCUCACACGAAACACAAAACCAGGCGGCCACAUGGAUUUUAUUCAUAAGGGCCCACAACUAAUCAACUAUCAUUCCGGGGAAGUUCAUUUAUUGCAUUCUUGUUUGCAUUUCCCCCAACAUCUUAAGGACCAUGAAGAUGAACCAGAUUACAGCAAUACAGGAUUCACUGUGUGCCUCGUGGACGGUUAAAAUAAGGGAAACUAAAAAACGACUGAACAGAUAUUUUGUAUGUUAUAAUACUCAAUCUUUUAACUUCAGCCAGAGGUGAAAGUGAAAAAGAAAUAUAGUGUGUACACUUCUUCUCCAACAGCACCACCAAAUCCAACUUAAA